UCGUACUGCCCUCCUUGGGCGUUUCCUCCCUAAGACUUGGGCCGUCGCUCCCGCGACGGCCCUUUUUCUUUCCCGGC
RNAcentral lists this small RNA (77 nucleotides) under Oharaeibacter diazotrophicus. RNAcentral describes it as "Makes More Granules Regulator RNA (mmgR)". It matches the Rfam family "Makes More Granules Regulator RNA (mmgR)". From Rfam's summary of the family: SuhB later renamed mmgR (makes more granules regulator) was a putative non-coding RNA found multiple times in the Agrobacterium tumefaciens genome and related alpha-proteobacteria. Other non-coding RNAs uncovered in the same analysis include: speF, ybhL, metA, and serC. Several studies inSinorhizobium meliloti showed that suhB element is indeed a non-coding RNA:firstly it was detected on Northern blot and called Sm8RNA, secondly in an RNAseq study referred to as SmelC689. Lineage: Bacteria; Pseudomonadati; Pseudomonadota; Alphaproteobacteria; Hyphomicrobiales; Pleomorphomonadaceae. The record is from Rfam by way of RNAcentral.